CAGGGAGACAACAAAAUGUUUAAUAUUAUUAUUUUGUCACCUUAGGUCGAUCGGUAUCUCACGUUCUUAAUUUGUUAAGAAUUUCAUUUCCUAAGUUUUUCUAGGUCACACCCAUUAUUUUUCCUGGGCCAUUAGCUCAGGUGGUUAGAGCGCACCCCUGAUAAGGGUGAGGUCCCUGGUUCAAGUCCAGGAUGGCCCAUAUCUCUAUGUUGGGGGUAUAGCUCAGUUGGUAGAGCGCCUGCUUUGCAAGCAGGAUGUCAGCGGUUCGAGUCCGCUUACCUCCACUGAUUACCACCUCUUCCAUAACCGGUAGAAAGGAAAUGUUUUGAGUUGUGAUAAUUAUUCUGAACGAAUCUAGCUUCCUAAUGAAAUUAUUAAGAUGCUGGACUCAUUGAAUUAAUUUCAUUGUUUUCAGAGAACCUUGACAACUGCAUAGAUUUUUUUAAAGACAAUAAGCAUCUUUAAUGAUGCAGAUUUAUUAUUUGUGCGAAUGCAUUAAUAACAAUUCUAUUAAGCUGAUGCUUCAAUUUUUGAAGUUAUU
This 541-nucleotide transfer RNA is filed under the name uncultured cyanobacterium. Its description in RNAcentral is "partial 16S-23S ribosomal RNA intergenic spacer". The stretch from base 212 to 284 matches the Rfam family "tRNA". Lineage: Bacteria; Bacillati; Cyanobacteriota. The record is from RNAcentral.